AUUGAACGCUGGCGGCAGGCCUAACACAUGCAAGUCGAACGGUAACAGGAAGAAGCUUGCUUCUUUGCUGACGAGUGGCGGACGGGUGAGUAAUGUCUGGGAAACUGCCUGAUGGAGGGGGAUAACUACUGGAAACGGUAGCUAAUACCGUAUAACGUCGCAAGACCAAAGAGGGGGACCUUCGGGCCUCUUGCCAUCGGAUGUGCCCAGAUGGGAUUAGCUAGUAGGUGGGGUAACGGCUCACCUAGGCGACGAUCCCUAGCUGGUCUGAGAGGAUGACCAGCCACACUGGAACUGAGACACGGUCCAGACUCCUACGGGAGGCAGCAGUGGGGAAUAUUGCACAAUGGGCGCAAGCCUGAUGCAGCCAUGCCGCGUGUAUGAAGAAGGCCUUCGGGUUGUAAAGUACUUUCAGCGGGGAGGAAGGGAGUAAAGUUAAUACCUUUACUCAUUGACGUUACCCGCAGAAGAAGCACCGGCUAACUCCGUG
This 490-nucleotide ribosomal RNA is filed under the name uncultured bacterium. RNAcentral's name for it is "partial 16S ribosomal RNA". It matches the Rfam family "Bacterial small subunit ribosomal RNA", at positions 30 to 507 of the family's 1533-position model. The record is from RNAcentral.